This 390-nucleotide ribosomal RNA is filed under the name Triticum aestivum (bread wheat). RNAcentral's name for it is "partial small subunit ribosomal RNA". The record is from RNAcentral. Lineage: Eukaryota; Viridiplantae; Streptophyta; Magnoliopsida; Poales; Poaceae.
AUGACUAGCAAGUUAUCUUCUUCACAACAUUUAUUCUAUGGAGCAUUCCAUCGAGCACCUUCUGUGCAUUCAUCCUCUGGUCACCGAAGAAGGCACCGCACGACAUGGCCACGCCGGAGCAGUGACCAGCUGAACGGCGAGAGUAAGGACCAGAGGAACGGCGGCCGGACGCCUCCACCCGAGAGUAGUGGCGCCUGCGUGAAGAAGAAGGCGACCGUACGCACAGGUGAGGUCGCGCGGCGGCGCACCAUGGAGCCGGCAGAUGCAGCCGCGGCAGUGAGAAACUUGGGUGGCGUCCAUGGUUCUUCUUGUGCGGUUGUGGAGGCGACGGGGGACUUGGGUUGCUCGUGCUCGGCAGGGAUCGCCCUGGUCGAGCGUCGCCGCCGCUAG